GACGAACGCUGGCGGCGUGCUUAACACAUGCGAGUCGAACGGAAAGGCCCUGCUUUUGUGGGGUGCUCGAGUGGCGAACGGGUGAGUAACACGUGAGUAACCUGCCCUUGACUUUGGGAUAACUUCAGGAAACUGGGGCUAAUACCGGAUAGGAGCUCCUGCUGCAUGGUGGGGGUUGGAAAGUUUCGGCGGUUGGGGAUGGACUCGCGGCUUAUCAGCUUGUUGGUGGGGUAGUGGCUUACCAAGGCUUUGACGGGUAGCCGGCCUGAGAGGGUGACCGGCAACAUUGGGACUGAGAUACGGCCCAGACUCCUACGGGAGGCAGCAGUGGGGAAUAUUGCACAAUGGGCGGAAGCCUGAUGCAGCAACGCCGCGUGCGGGAUGACGGCCUUCGGGUUGUAAACCGCUUUCGCCUGUGACGAAGCGUGAGUGACGGUAAUGGGUAAAGAAGCACCGGCUAACUACGUG
RNAcentral lists this ribosomal RNA (468 nucleotides) under uncultured bacterium. RNAcentral describes it as "partial 16S ribosomal RNA". It matches the Rfam family "Bacterial small subunit ribosomal RNA", at positions 28 to 507 of the family's 1533-position model. The record is from RNAcentral.